This 114-nucleotide transfer RNA is filed under the name Caudoviricetes sp. RNAcentral describes it as "tRNA-OTHER". The record is from RNAcentral. Lineage: Duplodnaviria; Heunggongvirae; Uroviricota; Caudoviricetes.
UAGCUCAAUUGGUUAGAGCAGUUGGUUAUGAGUCAGAUAGGGACGUAUCCCCUCAAGCUUAUACCUUGUAGAAAGGGUAGUUGGUCGCACGUGGGUUCAAAUCCCACCGUCCCU